AAUAGGCAGCCUUCACCUGGAUUUGCAAGGAAGGAGGGUGGAACUCAGAGGAAUUCAUUUGCCAAAAGUUGCACAGCCAGUUAGGAAGCCUGUCUUCCAAGUUCACUGCGCAGAAGGAGAUCUACCUGAGCGAACGAGAACACUGGGCAGCUCGGCACUAAAGGAACACCACGGGUUUAGGAACAGAGGCCUCCUUAAGAAGUUUGAAUGAAAUUUAGAAAGAAUCUGGCUGGGGAAAAUGAAAUGACCCCCGAGAGCUCCAAGUUCAUGCCAGGAUAGCUGGGAAGGCGGAAAGGCCAUGGCCGUGAACAUGGAGUGUGGUACUCAUGCCUUCGAACAUUUACUCUGGUAGCACAGGGAUGAUGGUGACUCUGCUCCUACUUUUAGACACCAGCGGAUGAAGGUGAUGGGACCAACAAUGAAAUGCUCUGUCCAGGCUUCAGACCAGUCCCCAUGGGCAGAAUUGUUCGCUCGCAGCUUCCUGAGAGAACCCACUGGAAGGUGUCUUAGGUUAUUCUAAUUUAUCCCUCAUUGAAAGGAACAAAAAGUCAUCAAGGUGGACGGCACACUGUGUAUCUCCAAACGGGCUCGUGAUUUCCUUCCGUGUCUUUUCCGGGCCUCUCUUUGCUCUCUGUGCCUCAGUUUUAUCAUCUGUAAAAUGAAUAUGAAACGCAAUGGCCCGAGGA
This 686-nucleotide long non-coding RNA is filed under the name Felis catus (domestic cat). RNAcentral's name for it is "lncRNA (ENSFCAG00000041970.2)". The record is from RNAcentral. Lineage: Eukaryota; Metazoa; Chordata; Mammalia; Carnivora; Felidae.